Alligator mississippiensis (American alligator) is the source of this 505-nucleotide long non-coding RNA. RefSeq lists it as uncharacterized. NCBI's taxonomy places the organism in Eukaryota, Metazoa, Chordata, Crocodylia, Alligatoridae. The record is from RefSeq and is a predicted model, not a curated record. The transcript is spliced from 3 exons.
UCGGUUCUAUUAACGUAACAUUCAUUGUAGUGCUGGCAUGAACAGAAGAUGACUAGUGUGACCUUACAAGUGAGACCCUGACCCUGAUCAGGACUUCAAUGAAGAGAAGAUUUCCCUGGCACCUCUUCCUCACAGAAAAUCUCUAAACACACCAACAAAGGAGCAACUCUCAAAAUUCAGAGACAGCAUGCUUGAGAAGGCCAAUAUGAUGUGAUUGCUGGUGAAGGCACAUGUGACAGUGGUAGAGAAGCAGCUUUCUGGAAACAUCCCUGUAACAUGAAGUCAGCCAUUUACCCAUUACUCGCCGUAUUUUGUCAAGAACAAUGAUUCAACAACAUGAAUCUUUUGGGAUCUGGGACCCCUCUUGCAUGAUAGGAUUUUCUCUAAUUUCUUGUAUUUUUGAAAGUAUUUGUAAUUCUUUUGUCCUUCAAUCUUAAACAGUUUAAAGCACCAAAGAUGAAUACUCUGACUGAUGAACAUUCACCUGUUGAAAAUAAAAGAUUCU